Molecule: ribosomal RNA, 532 nt
Filed under: Colletotrichum siamense
Lineage: Eukaryota; Fungi; Ascomycota; Sordariomycetes; Glomerellales; Glomerellaceae
Description: SSU rRNA
Rfam family: Eukaryotic small subunit ribosomal RNA
Source: RNAcentral
CGAGCUCCAAUAGCGUAUAUUAAAGUUGUUGUGGUUAAAAGUUGGUAUUAGAAACCUUGGGGCCUGGCAUGGCCGGUCGCGCCCUCACCGCGGGGCAUUUGGGCCGGGCGGGCCGUUCUCCCGUGGGAACGUUCAUGCCCUUCACUGGGGUGUGGGGGAAGAAAGGACUGUUGCUUUGGAAAAAAUAAAGUGUUCAAUGAAGGGCUAUGUUCGAAAACAAUAGCAUGGAAUAAUAGAAUAGGAGGUGUGGUUUUAUUUUGUUGGUUUCUAGGACCGCCCUAAUGAUUAAUAGGGACAGUCGGGGGCAUCAGUAUUCAAUUGUCAGAGGUGAAAUUCUUGGAUUUAUUGAAGACUAACUACUGCGAAAGCAUUUGCCAAGGAUGUUUUCAUUUAUCAGGAACGAAAGUUAGGGGAUCGAAGACGAUCAGAUACCGUCGUAGUCUUAACCAUAAACUAUGCCGACUAGGGAUGGGAGAUGUUAUUUUUUGACUCGUUCGGCACCUUACGAGAAAUCAAAGUGCUUUGGCUCCAG